CGGAGUGUAGCGCAGUCUGGUAGCGCACCUCGUUCGGGACGAGGGGGUCGGAGGUUCGAAUCCUCUCACUCCGA
This 74-nucleotide transfer RNA is filed under the name Chelatococcus asaccharovorans. It matches the Rfam family "tRNA". Rfam says of the family: Transfer RNA (tRNA) molecules are approximately 80 nucleotides in length. Their secondary structure includes four short double-helical elements and three loops (D, anti-codon, and T loops). RNAcentral also lists the same sequence under 1 other name. The record is from Rfam by way of RNAcentral. Lineage: Bacteria; Pseudomonadati; Pseudomonadota; Alphaproteobacteria; Hyphomicrobiales; Chelatococcaceae.